This 253-nucleotide ribosomal RNA is filed under the name uncultured bacterium. Its description in RNAcentral is "partial 16S ribosomal RNA". It matches the Rfam family "Bacterial small subunit ribosomal RNA", at positions 524 to 776 of the family's 1533-position model. The record is from RNAcentral.
UACGAAGGGUGCAAUCGUUGCUCGGAAUUACUGGGCGUAAAGCGCACGUAGGCGGCUUGGCAAGUCGGAUGUGAAAUCCCUCGGCUCAACCAAGGAAGUGCAUCCGAAACUGCCGAGCUUGAGUACUUAAGAGGAUCGCGGAAUUCCCGGUGUAGAGGUGAAAUUCGUAGAUAUCGGGAGGAACACCAGUGGCGAAGGCGGCGAUCUGGGAAGAUACUGACGCUGAGGUGCGAAAGCGUGGGGAGCAAACAGG